UUGGGSGAGAAUUGGUUUUCUGUGUUGCAUUCCAAUUGAAGGUAUACUUACCAAUAAGUUUUUGAUUUUCGCCUGACACUCUUACGGGUGUUUGGUGGACCCAUAUAGCUAGAUUCGUUCCCCAAACACAAUGGCGAGUUCAUAGCGCCAUUGUUAUGGAGUACGAGCUCUAGUUGUGCCCUGGGAUGCAGAAAGUUUAGUGGGGAUAGACGUUUUGAUACGUUGUUAUCCCUAAUUAAGCAUUUUAUGCUAAGCAUGAACGACAACUGGUUACGAGUUGACCUUCCCUACAAAGGGAUGGCUCAUGCGUACUAGUGUCGCUCAAGGAGUGCUACCUGGUUGAUCCUGCCAGUAGUCAUAUGCUUGUCUCAAAGAUUAAGCCAUGCAUGUGUAAGUAUGAA
Molecule: unclassified non-coding RNA, 401 nt
Filed under: Dysphania botrys
Lineage: Eukaryota; Viridiplantae; Streptophyta; Magnoliopsida; Caryophyllales; Amaranthaceae
Description: partial contains external transcribed spacer and small subunit ribosomal RNA
Source: RNAcentral